GCCUUCGUGGUGUAAUGGUCAGCACGCUCGGCGCGUAUUCGAGAGGUCCGUGGUUCGAGUCCCGGCGAGGGCA
RNAcentral lists this transfer RNA (73 nucleotides) under Stegodyphus mimosarum. It matches the Rfam family "tRNA". Rfam says of the family: Transfer RNA (tRNA) molecules are approximately 80 nucleotides in length. Their secondary structure includes four short double-helical elements and three loops (D, anti-codon, and T loops). The record is from Rfam by way of RNAcentral. Lineage: Eukaryota; Metazoa; Arthropoda; Arachnida; Araneae; Eresidae.